Molecule: ribosomal RNA, 222 nt
Filed under: uncultured bacterium
Lineage: Bacteria
Description: partial 16S ribosomal RNA
Rfam family: Bacterial small subunit ribosomal RNA
Source: RNAcentral
UACGUAGGGUGCAAGCGUUAAUCGGAAUUGACUGGACGUAAAGCGUGCGUAGACGGUCAUGUAAGUCGGGUGUGAAAGCCCCGGGCUCAACCUGGGAAUUGCAUUCGAGACUGCAUGGCUAGGAUGCGGAAGAGGGAAGCGGAAUUUCCGGUGUAGCGGUGAAAUGCGUAGAUAGUCGGAAGGAACACCAGUGGCGAAAGCGGCUUCCUGGUCCAGCAUCGA